RNAcentral lists this non-coding RNA (29 nucleotides) under Callithrix jacchus (white-tufted-ear marmoset). The record is from RNAcentral. Lineage: Eukaryota; Metazoa; Chordata; Mammalia; Primates; Cebidae. RNAcentral also lists the same sequence under 1 other name.
UGAGCAGUCGCUGGAGCAGGUCUUCUCAA